Long non-coding RNA from Heterocephalus glaber (naked mole-rat), 844 nucleotides. RefSeq lists it as uncharacterized. Lineage: Eukaryota; Metazoa; Chordata; Mammalia; Rodentia; Bathyergidae. The record is from RefSeq and is a predicted model, not a curated record.
CAAAUAUUCUUUCCAGUUUCCAUUUUUCAUUAUUCUGUCUGUAAUUCAUACUAGGAGCAUAUUUCCUUUCUGAUUAGUAGGGCACACAUCUUUGAUUUUCCAAUGGGUUCUGCAGAGGUCUGUGGCUCUUCACUCACCAGAAGUAGGGAAUUCCAUGUUUAUAAAAUGUACAUCAAUCAGACUCAUACCUGCUGGCUUUCCACUUCCUCCCCUCCUACUUUUCCUUCCCUGGGCCAACAACCUGGUGCCCUGGACACAUUGCACCAGUAAAAGAACUGUUGAGUGACCCUGCCAAGUGAUUACCCAUUUUCUAGAUGGCGAUCCAGUCUGUGACACCCUGGAGAAGGGCAUCAGAAGGCCCAGGGUUACGUGCUGCGUGUGCACUUUUUAUCUGAGAACUCUGCAUUGUUAGAGGCACCAUUUUUGGACCACGAGAGAUUUAAUCACAAAGAAUCCACUCAAGCAAUAUUGGAAGAAUGGGAGAAUGAUGCAACGAAGAAUACGUGUUCCACCUUUCCAGUAGUGACAUCCUUCACUUGUUCCCAUGUUGGGCCACACCGGAAGUCUUUGGAUGUUAUCUUUUCAUUCUUGUUUUCCUAAGAAGGUUUUAAAAUUGAUCUUUGGAAUUGACUUUGAAUUUUAUUAGAUCCUUUUAAUGAACCAUCAAGAUGCUCAGAUGUUUGGAUUUCUUGAUUGUGAGAUAUGGUUAAUCACAUUAUAAAUUUAUCAUCCACAAUGCACUCUCCCUUCUUGGGAUAAAUCUCAUUUUGUCAUAUGUCAUGGUGGAACAUUGCUGUGGUUUUCAGCAAGUGACGAUGACAAUAAUAAGAGUAUCUGAAGCCCA